AUUAAAUUUUGCACCUCGCUGUAAUUAAAUAUCACUGUAACUACAUAUUUUUAGCCUUCACAUUACAUAAUUGCAAGUUUCUUAUUUGGUUUGCAUUGAUUAUAGGAUACAUUUGAAAUAGGGGAUAAUUAUGAGGACAAUGCACUAUCCCAGCAAGUUGUGCAAAAGAAGUGUAACGUGUUACAUAAAGAUUGGAAGUGCAGAAUGAAGAAGAAAUGGGAGAAGCUUGUGGAUGCGGGAACUAAUCCCUAUGCUCAUCCAUACAAAGGAAUCAGAUUAGAUGAUUGGAAGUAUUUGAUUGACGAAGUAUGGUUAGAUCCUGCAAACAAGCGUCGCUACGACGCCGGCAAAAAAAAUAGGAGCAAGCUACCCUACAAUCACACAAGUGGGUCGCGAUCUUUUCCGGCAGCAAUGAGUAUUGCGGUGAAGGAAAAUGGUGGAGUGUUGCCAGAUCUCUGUAAUUUCUACAAGCACACUCAUCAGCACAAGAGGACAAAACAGUGGAUUGAUCCUAUAUGCGGUGAUUUACAUGCAAGUAUUCCAAUCAUUUGGACACUUAUACAUGCAACUUUUGUGUUUGUCUUAUACUAACAAUAUUUAUAUUUUACAAUUAUAGGAGCAAAUGACAAGGGUGCGGGAUGAGUCUAUCGAGGCUGGAACGCCGAUGAGGCAAGAGGAUAUAUCAAGAGUGGUUCUUGGUAAGAAGAAGGGAUACUUAAGAGGAUUUGGGGUUGGACCAAAGCCUUCUUCUUGUGAUUCUGGGUUCUCGGCUGCAUCACAAGCACGUGACGAGCAAUUGAAAAGGCUUACAUCCGAGUUGGAGAUACUGCGUGCGAAGCAGCAGAGCAACCGUGAGGAGCAACAAAAAAAAGAAGAGGAGCAACAAAUGAAAGAGGCAGAGAAUACAAGACAACGUGAGGACAUGCAGCAGCAGCUUUUUGGACUUCAGAACAUGUUGGCACAAGUUUUGGAAAAUCGCAAUCCACCAAAUUCUCGACAAUAGAUGGCUUAGUGGUAAUUGAUGGAUGAACUCGUGCACAAAGCUAAAUUGUACAGGACAAAUAGGCACUUUUUGGAUU
Non-coding RNA from Camellia sinensis, 1079 nucleotides. The record is from RefSeq and is a predicted model, not a curated record. NCBI's taxonomy places the organism in Eukaryota, Viridiplantae, Streptophyta, Magnoliopsida, Ericales, Theaceae.